CUGAAUGGGUCUUUAGAGGUCAUCUCUGUAGCAUAUGGGGACAGAAAAGCCCAGUGAGUGGAAAGACCUUACCCAAGUUUAUUCAGUAUUCAUGGCAAAUCUGGAUUCUUCAUUCCUAGCCUGUGCCUUUAGAUGGACUGUAUAGUGAAGAUACCAACUCUAAGUCAAGCAGUUUAUUGUGGUUUAAUGGUGAGAUGCAUGUGGCGAGGAGGUAAUCAGAAGAAGUGAGAACUGACCAGGAAAAGGAGAUGGUGUGAAACUUUGAAGAUUUUGUAUGCCAUGAUGAAGAAAUGAAAGUUCGGCAGGGUCAAGUAAGUUGUCCAGUGUUCAGUAUGAUGGAGUGGGAUGCACAUGCAAGACUAACUACGACUGAAACAUUUACUUCUGACUUUGCUAUUCUGCUUCCACUCACUGAACAUCUCUCUGUGCAAGGAUCAGGUAAAAUUCACUUCCUUUGUAAUACUUUCCCUUAUCACUGCUGGCUGAAAUUACUUAUCCUUCUAACUGUGGGUGUAAUUUGUAAUGCAAUUUGCUUUAGAUGUGUGUUUUUACUAUAAUGUGAACUCUUCAAGGUCAGCAACAAUUUUUUUUAAAUUUCUGUAUCACCAGCAUCUGGUAUGAAGGCUGAAACAGAGAGGUUGCACAGCAAAUGUUUUGCUAUAAUGAGAGAACAAAUACAUGAAUUAAAUGCGAAUUAAAUUUCUUCUAUCUCCUUAUGGUGGCAAAUAGUAUCCACGUGUUAUGGAUGAAGUCAAGUCAAACUUCAUCUAGCUGUAGCUUCUGGAUUCAGACUGUAAAUUCUACAAGGGUUAGAUCUAUGCCAUUAUUUUUCUUCACUGUGUUUGUAGUGUUUAGCUUGGUGCUUAGCAUAAUAAAAGUGGAUGGGUGACAGAGAAAGGAAUUUGUAUACCCCAAAUUUGAAAGGCUUUUCCCCCAGUACAUUUAAACAAAACCUUACUGAAGGUCUACUCUAGAAAAACGCUGCUGGAGCUUGUUUACACUCAUUCUCCUGUUCAUUUAAGUCUUAGAGGGAGAAACAAAAAUUACGAGUUAUAGUUACAGAGAAAAAAACCUAGAAAGCUGGGGCAAAAUAUAA
Non-coding RNA from Macaca mulatta (Rhesus monkey), 1096 nucleotides. The record is from RefSeq and is a predicted model, not a curated record. NCBI's taxonomy places the organism in Eukaryota, Metazoa, Chordata, Mammalia, Primates, Cercopithecidae.